AAACGACUCUCGGCAACGGAUAUCCCGGCUCUCGCAUCGAUGAAGAACGUAGCGAAAUGCGAUACUUGGUGUGAAUUGCAGAAUCCCGUGAACCAUCAAGUUUUUGAACGCAAGUUGCGCCCGAUGCCAUUAGGCUGAGGGCACGUCUGCCUGGGUGUCACGU
RNAcentral lists this ribosomal RNA (163 nucleotides) under Bupleurum rockii. RNAcentral describes it as "5.8S ribosomal RNA". It matches the Rfam family "5.8S ribosomal RNA". From Rfam's summary of the family: 5.8S ribosomal RNA (5.8S rRNA) is a component of the large subunit of the eukaryotic ribosome. The record is from RNAcentral. Lineage: Eukaryota; Viridiplantae; Streptophyta; Magnoliopsida; Apiales; Apiaceae.